RNAcentral lists this non-coding RNA (21 nucleotides) under Caenorhabditis elegans. Lineage: Eukaryota; Metazoa; Nematoda; Chromadorea; Rhabditida; Rhabditidae. The record is from RNAcentral.
UAGAUACAUUUCAGAUCAUUA